GGAAUAACGCAUCGAAAGGUGUGCUAAUACCGCAUACGCUCUGAGGAGGAAAGCUGGGGAUCGAAAGACCUGGCGUUAUUCGAGCGGCCGACGUCUGAUUAGCUAGUUGGUGAGGUAAAGGCUCACCAAGGCGACGAUCAGUAGCGGGUCUGAGAGGAUGAUCCGCCACACUGGGACUGAGACACGGCCCAGACUCCUAUGGGAGGCAGCAGUGGGGAAUUUUGGACAAUGGGGGCAACCCUGAUCCAGCCAUGCCGCGUGUCUGAAGAAGGCCUUCGGGUUGUAAAGGACUUUUGUUAGGGAGCAAGUCCUGCAGGUUAAGAGCUAGUAGGGAUGAGAGUACCUAAAGAAUAAGCACCGGCUAACUACGUGCCAGCAGCCGCGGUAAUACGUAGGGUGCAAGCGUUAAUCGGAAUUACUGGGCGUAAAGGGUGCGCAGGCGGUAUUGUAAGCCAGAUGUGAAAUCCCCGGGCUCAACCUGGGAACUGCGUUUGGAACUGCAAUGCUAGAGUGUGUCAGAGGGGGGUGGAAUUCCACGUGUAGCAGUGAAAUGCGUAGAGAUGUGGAGGAACACCGAUGGCGAAGGCAGCCCCCUGGGAUAACACUGACGCUCAGGCACGAAAGCGUGGGGAGCAAACAGGAUUAGAUACCCUGGUAGUCCACGCCCUAAACGAUGACAACUAGCCGUUGGGAACUUCGGUUCUUGGUGGCGUAGCUAACGCGAGAAGUUGUCCGCCUGGGGAGUACGGUCGCAAGAUUAAAACUCAAAGAAUUGACGGGGGCCCGCACAAGCGGUGGAUGAUGUGGAUUAAUUCGAUGCAACGCGAAAAACCUUACCUGGUCUUGACAUGCUAGGAAUCUCUGAGAGAUCGGAGAGUGCCCGAAAGGGAACCUAGACACAGGUGCUGCAUGGCUGUCGUCAGCUCGUGUCGUGAGAUGUUGGGUUAAGUCCCGCAACGAGCGCAACCCUUGCCAUUAGUUGCCAUCAUUAAGUUGGGCACUUUAAUGGGACUGCCGGUGACAAACCGGAGGAAGGUGGGGAUGACGUCAAGUCCUCAUGGCCCUUAUGACCAGGGCUUCACACGUCAUACAAUGGUCGGUACAGAGGGUCGCAAAGCCGCGAGGUGGAGCUAAUCUCAUAAAAUCGAUCGUAGUCCGGAUCGGAG
This 1166-nucleotide ribosomal RNA is filed under the name uncultured Nitrosospira sp. RNAcentral's name for it is "bacterial SSU rRNA". It matches the Rfam family "Bacterial small subunit ribosomal RNA", at positions 140 to 1303 of the family's 1533-position model. The record is from RNAcentral. Lineage: Bacteria; Pseudomonadati; Pseudomonadota; Betaproteobacteria; Nitrosomonadales; Nitrosomonadaceae.